This 167-nucleotide small RNA is filed under the name Chelonoidis abingdonii (Abingdon island giant tortoise). Its description in RNAcentral is "TUC338 (ENSCABG00000017778.1)". Lineage: Eukaryota; Metazoa; Chordata; Testudines; Testudinidae. The record is from RNAcentral.
UUGACAGCCCUGGAAGAGGAAAGCCUCUCUAUAUCCAGAGAACAGGUAUAGCAUGGCUAGCAGCAGGGCAAGCAUUCUCCAGUCACUGCCCUGCCUGAGUUCUGGAGACACCGUCUUGGUGGGGGAGGGAGGGGCAGUUUCCAUGCCUGACAUGCCCUAUUACUAAA